This 432-nucleotide ribosomal RNA is filed under the name uncultured bacterium. RNAcentral's name for it is "partial 16S ribosomal RNA". It matches the Rfam family "Bacterial small subunit ribosomal RNA", at positions 29 to 506 of the family's 1533-position model. The record is from RNAcentral.
AACGAACGCUGGCGGCAUGCCUAACACAUGCAAGUCGAACGAGACCUUCGGGUCUAGUGGCGCACGGGUGCGUAACGCGUGGGAACCUGCCCUUAGGUUCGGAAUAACUCCCCGAAAGGGGUGCUAAUACCGGAUAAUGUCUUCGGACCAAAGAUUUAUCGCCUUUGGAUGGGCCCGCGUUGGAUUAGCUAGUUGGUAGGGUAAAAGCCUACCAAGGCGACGAUCCAUAGCUGGUCUGAGAGGAUGAUCAGCCACACUGGGACUGAGACACGGCCCAGAACCCUACGGGAGGCAGCAGGGGGGAAUAUUGGAAAAUGGGCGAAAGCCUGAUCCAGCAAGGCCGGGGGAGGGAGGAAGGCCUUGGGGUUGUAAAGCUCUUUUACCCGGGAUGAUAAUGACAGUACCGGGAGAAUAAGCCCCGGCUAACUCCGU